CUGUCUUCGUUUACCAUCAGACCAUUCACAAGCCAUCACAAGUAGAUUGCUUGUUCACUGAGAGUUGUCUAUAUUUAUAUGGACCUUGAGUAGUUAAAGCCCAAAACGUGGGUUGGUCCUUUUAUCUCAUAUUCACGUCCUAAGCCCAAAUACAUAUAUUAUCCUACCUCAAAUCCUUUCCAAUAUUCCCAAUACUAUGUGUCCUCUAUUUGUGACUUUCUAUUGAAUUGAUCUUUUUUUUUUCUUUUUUUUGGUAAAAUGUUAAUUGAUCUUCAGAGAUCACGGGAGUUACGACUUUAUAAGCAUUAUCUUCUUUAUGCUUGGAAUCAACACUAAGAAAAUUUUAUUUGAAUAAUACACUAUGUACCAAGAGAAAUUUGAAUCUGAAACACAAUAAAGCAACCCAUUUACUAUUUAGACCACUAACACAAUAAGUAAAUUCGAUUAUGAACUAGUUUUAUAAUAUGUUGUUAAUAUAUAUAGAGGACAAAGGUGUAUUCAACGUGGACGCUUAGUUUUUUUUAAUAUUAUCAAUAAUAAUUAUAUUCGUGAGCUUUCUUUUUUCUCUCUUAAUUCACAUGUUAAUUACUUGCUUGCCGGGUCGCACCUAGUUAUAAGUUUUGAUAGAACAAAAAAAUCAUAUCACCGCAAAGAAAAAUAUAUAAGAGCAUUUCUAUCCACACUCUAUUUUUUUUCUAAAAUGGAGUAGAAGUAAACAUGGAGUAAGAAAUAUUUCAACCCAACUAAAUAUCUUAUUCUAUAAUGAAAUUUACUCUAUAAAUAGAGUAAUCUAUUUUUUUUUUUUUCAUC
This 810-nucleotide long non-coding RNA is filed under the name Brassica rapa (field mustard). Its description in RNAcentral is "long non-coding RNA (BRAP_LNC003274)". The record is from RNAcentral. Lineage: Eukaryota; Viridiplantae; Streptophyta; Magnoliopsida; Brassicales; Brassicaceae.